GGGGGGGGGGGGGGGGGGGCCGGGGAGGUGCGGGGCGGGCGGCGGCGCGGUGAGAGCGUGCGCUGGCGGGGGGGGGGGGGCGGGCGGGUGAGGAAUACAGCGGGAUCUACGUUUUCGUGGGGGAUAACGUAGGGAAACUUACGCUAGUACCGCAUACGACCUACGGGUGAAAGCAGGGGAUCUUCGUACCUUGCGCGAUUGAAUGAGCCGAUGUCGGAUUAGCUAGUUGGCGGGGUAAAGGCCCACCAAGGCGACGAUCCGUAGCUGGUCUGAGAGGAUGAUCAGCCACACUGGAACUGAGACACGGUCCAGACUCCUACGGGAGGCAGCAGUGGGGAAUAUUGGACAAAGGGCGCAAGCCUGAUCCAGCCAUACCGCGUGGGUGAAGAAGGCCUUCGGGUUGUAAAGCCCUUUUGUUGGGAAAGAAAAGCAGCAGGUUAAUACCCCGCUGUUCUGACGGUACCCAAAGAAUAAGCACCGGCUAACUUCGUG
Molecule: ribosomal RNA, 492 nt
Filed under: uncultured bacterium
Lineage: Bacteria
Description: partial 16S ribosomal RNA
Rfam family: Bacterial small subunit ribosomal RNA
Source: RNAcentral